This 503-nucleotide ribosomal RNA is filed under the name uncultured archaeon. Its description in RNAcentral is "bacterial SSU rRNA". It matches the Rfam family "Archaeal small subunit ribosomal RNA", at positions 955 to 1458 of the family's 1478-position model. The record is from RNAcentral.
CAGGCUGAAGACCUUGCCUGAUCCGCUGAGAGGUGGUGCAUGGCCGUCGUCAGUUCGUACUGUGAAGCAUCCUGUUAAGUCAGGCAACGAGCGAGACCCACGCCCACAGUUGCCAGCGAGCCCUUCGGGGUGGCGGGUACUCUGUGGGGACCGCCGCUGCUAAAGCGGAGGAAGGAAUGGGCAACGGUAGGUCAGUAUGCCCCGAAUCUCCCGGGCUACACGCGGGCUACAAUGGUCGGUACAAUGGGUAUCUACCCCGAGAGGGGAUGGAAAUCUCCUAAAACCGGUCGUAGUUCGGAUUGAGGGCUGCAACUCGCCCUCAUGAAGCUGGAAUCCGUAGUAAUCGCGUUUCAACAGAACGCGGUGAAUACGUCCCUGCUCCUUGCACACACCGCCCGUCAAACCACCCGAGUAGGGUCUGGAUAAGGGUGCGCCAUGUUGACGCAUUCGAAUCUGGGCUUUGCAAGGGGGGUUAAGUCGUAACAAGGUAACCAAGGGCGAAU